Molecule: ribosomal RNA, 530 nt
Filed under: uncultured bacterium
Lineage: Bacteria
Description: bacterial SSU rRNA
Rfam family: Bacterial small subunit ribosomal RNA
Source: RNAcentral
GNANUGGAGGAACUCUGAUGCAGCGACGCCGCGUGAGCGAUGAAGCCCUUCGGGGUGUAAAGCUCUUUCGGCAGGGAAGAUGAUGACGGUACCUGCAGAAGCAGCUGCGGCUAACUACGUGCCAGCAGCCGCGGUAAUACGUAGGCAGCAAGUGUUGUUCGGAGUUACUGGGCGUAAAGGGUGCGUAGGCGGCCUUGUAAGUAUGGUGUGAAAUCUCCCGGCUCAACUGGGAGGGUGCGCUAUUAACUGCAGGGCUAGAGUGCGGGAGAGGAAAGUGGAAUUCCUGGUGUAGCGGUGAAAUGCGUAGAUAUCAGGAGGAACACCGGUGGUGUAAACGGCUUUCUGGACCGUAACUGACGCUGAGGCACGAAAGCGUGGGUAGCAAACAGGAUUAGAUACCCUGGUAGUCCACGCCCUAAACGAUGCAUAUUUGGUGUGGGCCAUUCAGUUGGUCCGUGCCGGAGCUAACGCGUUAAAUAUGCCGCCUGGGGAGUACAGUCGCAAGGCUGAAACUCAAAGAAAUUGACGGA